AAGACAGCCAUGUUUUGUGAGUAACAGAGAGAGAGGGUUUGUGUUAGAUUUUAGAUGCUUCCACAAAUAUAGCACUGUAAAUGCUUGCUUGGAUUAUGUUUCCAUGAUAGCUUUUGAUUACAGACAUCUGGUGACCUUUGGGGUCAGCAGACGGGGGCACAAUAGUAUGUGUUCUUUCAUUCUUCUUUAACUGAAAAAAUAUCCCGGCUUGUUGUUUUGGAGUGCUGUCACUGCUCUGUAGCGAAAGGAUAAUGGCUACUUCCUGAUUAAACCACUAUCCACAAUUUUCCAGUGAAACAGCCCUUCAGUAUCCUUAUAUGAAGAGACUCAGAACUCUGGGCUCCAUGCACACAAGCUGGACCGAGCAGUUUGUGUUGUGAACUAGGUGGGUGGUGGAAAUAUGCCCGCCCACAACUUUUGGAUAGUUGAUUUCUGCUGGCAUCAUCUCUUCUCCUUUGCCAUACUUCUCUUAAUUUCACUCUAUUAUUACCAGAGUCAGGAGGCACCAGUCGCCCACGAUUGGUUACAGGAGACCCUCGCCAUUUGUGGGUGAUACGUUCCGGAGAUCCCCGUGAAUGGUGAAAUCUGCGCGUACUGACGGGGCUCCCUGUCAGACCCCACAGCCGCCCCGGCUCCCCUGCAGCACCUGAGGACCGACCCCUUCCCCCCCAAGUGCCAUCCCCCCCAAGUGCUGCUGGAGGCAGCAGCGGCAGAGUAGAUGCCAUCACCACCACCCUCCCUGUCCCCAGGUCUCCCCCACAGUGCCCAGGGACUGACCCUUCCCCCCCCGAGCGAUGCCAGGGCAGCCGCCAGGGGAGAAGAUGCUGCCGCCGCCAUCGUCCACGUCCCCGGCACUCGCUCUCUGCCCGCCUCCCGGCUCUGUCCUCCCCCGCAAAUAUUUGAAUCUGCGAAUCUGGAGUUUGCGAAUAGUGAAGGUUUCCUGUGUAUGGAAAAUGUUCUGUGUUAAAUGCAUUUGGUUACAAUGUAUACUUCUAACUGAAAUAGCAAAAGCAGUUCUUUUAUAUAUAUUUUAGUUGCUAGAUAAAUUUGCCUAUAAGCUGAGAAUGCAUAUGAAUCUGUUUAGAGCAAAGUUAAUAUUUAUUGCUAAAUUAGAAGUAAGGCUAUAAUUUUUGCAGGAUAAACUUGUGUAAACUUCACAUAGCAGUGUGUGGAGGAAGAAAUCUGUUUUUAUGGGAGGGUUACCAAACAAGCUUGCAGCCAAUGUAAAGAACGUGAACGAUAACCUUUUACCAUCGAUGUAUCCUUACUGUUUCACACUACCUCCUAGAAGUUGCUUUUGGAGGACAAGUUCCACUUGUUCUUUUCUAAAGACCUCUAAUUCCUCACCAAGUAUAUUUCCCUAAUGGGAGCUGUAGUUUGGAAAACAAACACACUCCAUUUGUAGUCCAGCAUCCCUGGCUGUAGUCCGUUUUACCAUGAAUCCAGUACAUUAUAUGAUUGAGUGGCAUGGUGCUUCCCAAGAGACUUCCUUCAGUUUCUGUCUCUGACAAAAUUAAUGAUAAGAUCUUAAUAAAGGAUGUUUAUAUUGCUUGUUUUUACUGUAGUUUAACUCUCUGUGUUUGCACUACAUUAUCACUCUUACCAUUUGUAAAACAUUUUUGUGGCUGGUUUCAAUAUGUUAAAUAUUAGAGCUGUGCGAAGCUUUGGGUGCUGAUUCA
Molecule: long non-coding RNA, 1679 nt
Organism: Alligator sinensis (Chinese alligator)
Lineage: Eukaryota; Metazoa; Chordata; Crocodylia; Alligatoridae
Exons: 3
Source: RefSeq, a predicted model, not a curated record